RNAcentral lists this ribosomal RNA (600 nucleotides) under uncultured Bacillus sp. RNAcentral describes it as "bacterial SSU rRNA". It matches the Rfam family "Bacterial small subunit ribosomal RNA", at positions 736 to 1335 of the family's 1533-position model. Lineage: Bacteria; Bacillati; Bacillota; Bacilli; Caryophanales; Bacillaceae. The record is from RNAcentral.
GUCACUGACGCUGAGGAGCGAUAGCGUGGUGAGCGCACAGCACUAGAUACCAUGGUAGUCCACGCAGUACACGAUGAGUGCUCAGCGUUAGGGGGUUUCCGCCCCUUAGUGCUGCAGCUAACGCAUUAAGCACUCCGCCUGGGGAGUACGGUCGCAAGACUGAAACUCAAAGGAAUUGACGGGGGCCCGCACAAGCGGUGGAGCAUGUGGUUUAAUUCGAAGCAACGCGAAGAACCUUACCAGGUCUUGACAUCCUCUGACAACCCUAGAGAUAGGGCUUUCCCUUCGGGGACAGAGUGACAGGUGGUGCAUGGUUGUCGUCAGCUCGUGUCGUGAGAUGUUGGGUUAAGUCCCGCAACGAGCGCAACCCUUGAUCUUAGGUUGCCAGCAUUCAGUUGGGCACUCUAAGGUGACUGCCGGUGACAAACCGGAGGAAGGUGGGGAUGACGUCAAAUCAUCAUGCCCCUUAUGACCUGGGCUACACACGUGCUACAAUGGACAGAACAAAGGGCUGCGAGACCGCAAGGUUUAGCCAAUCCCACAAAUCUGUUCUCAGUUCGGAUCGCAGUCUGCAACUCGACUGCGUGAAGCUGGAAUCGC